Molecule: non-coding RNA, 1136 nt
Organism: Paramormyrops kingsleyae
Lineage: Eukaryota; Metazoa; Chordata; Actinopteri; Osteoglossiformes; Mormyridae
Source: RefSeq, a predicted model, not a curated record
ACAUUCGGAUAGAUGAUGUAUAGAUAUACAUUCGGAUAGAUGAUGUAUCUGCAAACCAAUGUUACCGAUGCUGUAGAUGUAAUUAAGAGCUAAUGCUCUGAAGCUGCUUUGGCGGCAGCACCAUGCAUAUUGUGUUCAGUCCCCUUCUUUCUUCAUUGGUGAGACACUAGAUUCAAAAUAAGGAACGACCCAUAAGAGAAAAUCGAUCAAAACGUGCUCCAGUCUUUCUUCUGGAAGAUUCUGUUUAUGCUGCAUCCACAACAUAUUUAUGACGCGUUUACGGCGUCCGAGGACGACUGCUUGCCUUUCAGGCUAAGCGAGGGUCCCUUUCUGCUGUUUAUAAAACACCGUGAGCUUUCUGCAGAAAUGCGUAAUAUCGCCCACAGGCGGGAACAGGGGGGGCCGCUUCAGAUUUGGCAGGGGGACGAUGCAGAUGGUGCGGAUUAUAUAACCUCGAUCCGGCUCGCUGGAGAGCAGGGCGGGGGGGAGCUUACUGUACACUGCGUUUAUUUAUUUAUUUACCCGCAGACGCUCCGAUCGGGGUCGCUAACGGGAUGCUCGGGCCGCGCAGUGGGGGCCGUUUCCGGCCGUAAACAGUGCAUUAACCCGGCGAGGAGGGAAGCACCUUCGGUGCGUGACGGUCGAGGACUCUCUGCAGGGAUGUGGAAUUCUCUCCUCCUUCCCGCCCCCCCAGAUCAACGGUGUGACCUUUCCCCUCACCCUGGGGAGCCCCGCACAGCCCCUGCUGAAGCCUGGUGAUUGGAGCUACUGUGACUAUUUCUGGACUGAUAAAAAGGACCCCCAAGGGACCUCAUGCAUCACAGGCUUCGAGGUCCUACUCCAGAAGCAGCUGAAGGGGAAGCAGCUGCAGAAGGAGAUGGCGGAGUUCAUCCGGGAGAGAAUAAAGAUAGAAGAGGAUUAUGCCAAGAACCUGGCCAAGCUUUCUCAAGUCCCCCUGGCCGCAGGAGAAGAAGGGUAAAUGGAGAACGCCGCAACACCAGCCAUCCCAGUAACACCGCCCGCACUCGCUUGCAUUAUAUUAAUUCCCAUGAUGCACUGGAGAAGCUUAUGUAACAGCAUGCAUACUGCAGUAGCUCAGACUUAGAGAUGUGAAUCCAAGCUGGUUCCCCCCCCCC